Molecule: RNA transcript, 4210 nt
Organism: Populus nigra (black poplar)
Lineage: Eukaryota; Viridiplantae; Streptophyta; Magnoliopsida; Malpighiales; Salicaceae
Exons: 4
Source: RefSeq, a predicted model, not a curated record
AGUCCUCAGGCAUAAACCUGAAAACAAAAUAUCAAUGGUCGUCUUUUCUUAUUCUACCUCGGAUUGACCGAAUUUCGUUUGUUUACCCAUUUUUUUCUGGCUCUAUGCUUUAGUUAUUGCUAUAUAUGAUGGUGGGGUGGCGUACGGUUUAAUCACGCUUUCUACUUUUUUAAACUCCCACCUCACUGUUCACCCUGCUCUUCCUUUGUGGAACUACCUAGCAUUAUUGCUUUGUCUGAGUUUAGGUGGGACAUGCUGCCGAUUUUAAUGUUUGAUUUCUAGUGAUGCUGAACUCUCUUAUAGCUCAGUUUUAAGUCAUCUUGUACUUUAAGGCGAUGGUCGCUGACUCGUGGUUUAUUAAUUGGAGGUGGAAUUCACGAAAAGUCUCUGCAGAGACUGAUAAGGAAGCAAUUGGAGUAUUGGCAUAUGAAGUUGCAGGCUUGAUGUCCAAGGUCGUUAAUUUAUGGAACUAUUUGAAUGAUAGAGAGAUCCAUAGGUUGAGGGAAGAGAUUGUCAACUCAGUUGGAGUUAAAAGGCUUGUAGCUGAGGAUCAUGAUUGCCUGAUGGAUCUUGCACUAAAUGAGAUACUGGAGAAUUUCAGGCUAAUUGCAAGAUCUGUGGCUCGGCUUGGGAGGAAGUGCAAAGACCCUCCUUUCCUCCUAUUUGAACGUUUUGUUAAUGACCCGGUUGGGAAUGAUCUUGAGUGGUUUGGGUGGCAAUAUAGAUUAAAGAAGAUGGAGAGGAAAGUUAAAAAAAUGGAGAAAUUUGUUGCAGUUACAAUGCAAUUGUCUCAGGAGCUGGAAGUUCUUGCAGAACUUGAACAAACUCUUAGGAGACUGCGGGCCAAUGCUGACUUAGAUCGUGUGAAAUUGCUCCAAUUUCAGAAGAAAGUAAUGUGGCAGCGACAGGAAGUUAGAAAUCUGCGGGAUAUGUCACCAUGGAUUAGAACCUAUGAUUAUGUUGUCCGUCUUUUGGCAAGAUCACUUUUAACUAUACUUGAGAGAAUCAAGCAUGUUUUUGAGAUCAAUCAACUACCAUCUGCUCAGGGAAACAGCAAUUGCAAACAGAGGAAUCCUGAUUGUCUUCCUCAGACCCGUUCCUUUUCUGUUUUAAUGCAAUCUUCUAUACUUCCUUCAGAGGAUAUUCUACAUGGGUUCUCUUCAGUACCUACAGGAACAUCAGGUUCGACUUCAGGACUGGCUGCUGAGAAGUAUAAAAUAAGCAAUCAGCAGCUUCAACCUCAUCAUCAGUCAUCCAGCCUACAUGGAAAGCAGUCUCGCUUGAAAACAAAAAGAUUGUCUCAUGUUGGCUCUUUUAAGGAAUGCAUGAUGAGUGGAAGUGAUUCUCCUAUUUUGCUGACCUGCAAUUCUGUUGUUGGUGGUUCUUUGAGGCUCACAAGUGACUAUAUGAAAAAAGUUGAUCUAAUGGAAAAAUCAAAUAUGGAAUCUCUUUCACGCAGCAACCGAUUUUAUUCUAAAUUAGCUCUAUUCAAUUCAAAGCAGGGGUUGUUGAAAGCCCCCUCAUCCACUCUUGGUGCUGCUGCUUUAGCUCUCCAUUAUGCAAAUUUGAUCAUAUUAAUUGAUAAGGUAGCUUCAUCGACUCAUAUGAUUGACUUUGAAACAAGAGAUGACCUGUAUGGCAUGUUACCCACAACUAUAAGAUCUGCUCUGAAGGCUAGGCUCAAGGCACAUGCCAAAUCUCUUGCUCCAUUUGUAUAUGAUGCUUCACUUGCAGCAGAGUGGAACCUGGCUUUGUCACAGAUAUUGGAAUGGCUGUCUCCACUGGCUCAUAACAUGAUAAGAUGGCAGUCCAAGCAAAACUUUGAGAGGGCACAUGAGAUUUCCAGCACAAAUGUACUCCUGUUUCAGACCCUCCAUUUUGCGGAUCAAGCAAAGACUGAGGCUGCAAUAACAGAACUUCUUGUUGGUCUGAACUACAUCUGGCACGGAGAACAUGAUGAAAAAGCCUUGCCAGAGAUUCCGGGCUGCAGAGCUAGUUCCUUUUAUGAGCCAAAAAGGGAUCAUCAUGCAUAUUAUAUGGCACAGGAUUGAACAGGUUCUCAUAGGUCUCAAAUGAUGAGGUGACCAGGUUCAUGAAAUGAUUUGGAUUGGGCCACCAGACCAUACUCCCAUAAAGCAACUUCUUAAUGCUGCAUCCUCACAUUGUUAAGGAACACUAGUUAUGGAGAACAUGAGCAGCAGCAAGUAAUUAAAAACAGUCAGUAGAGAAAACUCCUUAGCUGUCAUAUAAUCCCCGCAUCUGUUUCUUAUUGAUAUUAUUGCUGAAGACAUUUAUUCAAAACACGCAUUCCACACGCAAAUGACCUCGGUACCCAACUUGCAGAAACUCAUUUGACAUUUAUCAUUCUCCCUAUCUGCUUUGGUUUAGCUUUUAAGGGUUUGAGCUUUUGCACUGUUAGUCCCAUCCUCUCAUUCACGUCUAUGGUCCCUGGAGCAUAAUCGCUGCCAAGCUCCCAGUCAAAACAGUGCUGCAGAGAGGCUAGACCAAGGAGAACUACCCUAUGAGCUAAUAACAUGCCCACACAAAUUCAUCUCCCAGAUCCAAAUGGAAUAAACUCAAAAUUCUGUCCCCUGUACUCAAUGUUUGAUCCUAGAAAUCUCUCAGGCUUGAAAGACAUGGGAUCCUCCCAAGAAUCUGGGUCUCUCCCAAUACCCUAUGCUUUCGCAAAAGCUUGUGUAUCUUUGGGUAUUAGGUGCCCCAUGAAGUUUGUAUCUUCUAAAGUAUUUGGUGGAAGCAGCAAAGGAAUGACUGGAUGUAACCUUAGUGUUUCCUUAACCACUGGCUGCAAAUAUGGAAGUUGAUCUAUGUCGCUUUCCUCAACCUUUCAUUUGGGUCCAACAACUUGAUGAAGCUCUUCUGUAGCUCAUCCCAUCACCAUAGGGUUGCGCAAUAGCUCUGUCAUGGCCCAUUCCAUCGCGGUGCUUGUAGUUUCUGAUCCACCAAAAGACAUUUCCUGCACCAUUGAGUAAGAACUUUGAAUUAAAUGUAGUUAACAAAUGUUUAUGAUAUAUACUUCACAGAAGCUUGAUGAAAAUUUUGGUUUGAUAUGUGUAAUCUGCAUUUAAGGCAUCGUGUUUACCAGUAUGAUAAUUAGUCUAUUUUGAUCUGAGAUCACAUCAGGCCCAUCUUUUUCGUCACCUUCAUGCUCCAAUAGUGCAUCUAGGAAGUCGUUUUUUCUUUUUUCUCCCUGACUUCCACUCCUCUGUCCUCUCCUUCACAAAUUUCUCCACUAUCCUCAUGGUUUGUCCCAUGUCCUGCACCAUGUUCCUCAUGAUCCCCUGACGAUCCAGCCAUUUCAAAAAUGUUAAGAAUUCUGCCACAUUUCGUGUCCCAGCCCACUUCAUGACAUUGUUCAUGGCAUCAUAGAAUUCAUGGCCAUCUUUUGACCGAGGGUUCACAAGAUCCCGUGACAGCACAAGAUUGCCAAUUAGAUUGAAGGUCAUAAGGAAGAGGUAGUGGGCGCCCUUGAUUUCCCCCGACUCUCCCUGUGCUUGUGCUUCUGCAACAUCCUCUUCAAUAUACCUUAUCAUGUCAUCAGUGCACUUCUGUCGGAGGACAGCUGUCUGGUCGAUUUGCUUGGUUAUCAAUUUAUCAUGAGCUUUGUUGAGCAGAGACGCUGGAGCAUGCGCCAGUUUGGGCCAUACCAACCUAGUGCCAGUGAUCCUUGGUAGUAAUUAUGAGCUGUAAACACAAGAAGGACUUUGCGAUCGCUGAAAGCAAGGUCAUGAUUCUUGAAUAAUCCUGCAGCAGUCUCGGCGGACUGUAUCACCAAGGUGUUUGUGUAUCCAAGUUUUAGCCAAAUUACAGGACCAUACUUUUCUUUGAGCUUGUACAAUGUCUGGUGUGGAAUGGCUCCGAGGUCAAAGAUGUUACCAAAGACUGGCCAUGCCGGGGGCCCCGGUUGUUGUUGUUUGGUAUCAACUCACGAUUUUCUCUGUUUCAGCGGAGAAAAGAACCUACCCGGCAAGUAAAUUCCAGGCGCUCUCCAUUUUCUGUGUUUAGUUUUCUUCUUUGUUCCCCUAAUUUAUAUGCAAAAAACUUUUUGUUUCCAUAUCAUCAAAAGAUUUGGUGGUCCAAUUACUUGGAUUGUCCUAUGAUCAUGGGAACUUAUAUUAAGGUUUCUUCUAUUUGCUAUUGUAAAUUGAAAUAUGGUAUUCACAUUAAUCAUUUGUUUGAGGGUGUCUUCUGA